This 1397-nucleotide ribosomal RNA is filed under the name uncultured bacterium. Its description in RNAcentral is "bacterial SSU rRNA". It matches the Rfam family "Bacterial small subunit ribosomal RNA". The record is from RNAcentral.
UUAGAGUUUGAUCCUGGCUCAGGAUGAACGCUAGCGGGAGGCUUAACACAUGCAAGUCGAGGGGCAGCACGAUGUAGCAAUACGUUGGUGGCGACCGGCGCACGGGUGAGUAACACGUAUGCAACCUACCCUGUACAGGGGGAUAACCCGGAGAAAUUCGGACUAAUACCGCAUAAUGAUAUUUGAGGGCAUCCUUAGAUAUUUAAAGCUUCGGUGGUACGGGAUGGGCAUGCGGAACAUUAGCUAGUUGGCAGGGUAAUGGCCUACCAAGGCAAUGAUGUUUAGGGGACCUGAGAGGGUGAUCCCCCACACUGGUACUGAGACACGGACCAGACUCCUACGGGAGGCAGCAGUGAGGAAUAUUGGUCAAUGGGCGGAAGCCUGAACCAGCCAUCCCGCGUGCAGGAAGACGGCCCUAUGGGUUGUAAACUGCUUUUCCAGGGGGCGAAACUUUCCGAUGUAUCGGGAUUUGACGGUACCCUGGGAAUAAGCAUCGGCUAACUCCGUGCCAGCAGCCGCGGUAAUACGGAGGAUGCGAGCGUUAUCCGGAUUUAUUGGGUUUAAAGGGUGCGUAGGCGGAUCGAUAAGUCAGUGGUGAAACCCUGCAGCUUAACUGUAGACUUGCCGUUGAUACUGUUGGUCUUGAGUGUGGUCAAGGUAGGCGGAAUGUGUAAUGUAGCGGUGAAAUGCUUAGAUAUUACACAGAACACCGAUUGCGAAGGCAGCUUACUGGGCCAUUACUGACGCUGAUGCACGAAAGCGUGGGGAUCGAACAGGAUUAGAUACCCUGGUAGUCCACGCCGUAAACGAAGAUCACUCGCUGUUGGCGAUACACAGUCAGCGGGUAAGCAAAAGCAUUAAGUGAUCCACCUGGGGAGUACGGCCGCAAGGCUGAAACUCAAAGGAAUUGACGGGGGCCCGCACAAGCGGUGGAGCAUGUGGUUCAAUUCGACGCAACGCGAAGAACCUUACCUGGGCUCGAACGGCUGGUCAACGACCGUGGAAACAUGGUUACUCCGCAAGGGGGUCCAGUCGAGGUGCUGCAUGGCUGUCGUCAGCUCGUGUCGUGAGAUGUUGGGUUAAGUCCCGCAACGAGCGCAACCCUUGUCCUGUGUUGCUAACCGAAAGGCGCACUCUCAGGAGACCGCCAGCGAUAAGUUGGAGGAAGGUGGGGAUGACGUCAAGUCAUCAUGGCCCUUAUGUCCAGGGCUACACACGUGCUACAAUGGCCGGUACAAACCGCCGCAAACCCGCGAGGGGGAGCAAAUCGGAAAAAACCGGUCUCAGUUCGGAUUGCAGGCUGCAACUCGCCUGCAUGAAGCUGGAAUCGCUAGUAAUGGCGCAUCAGAAUGGCGCCGUGAAUACGUUCCCGGGCCUUGUACACACCGCCCGUCAAG